Molecule: small RNA, 1602 nt
Filed under: Manduca sexta (tobacco hornworm)
Lineage: Eukaryota; Metazoa; Arthropoda; Insecta; Lepidoptera; Sphingidae
Description: uncharacterized LOC115455973
Source: RNAcentral
GUAUCACAAAUAAAAAUAUAACACAAAUAAAUAAAUUUUGACAGACGUCAUAUAAUCGCAAUGGUAUAAUAACUGGAAAUUCAAAGUGAUUCAUCAAAUCUAAUAAUGUUUAGGAAUUAACAGUUUAAAUUAACCAGAAUAUGAACGCUACAAAUAUUUCUCGGAAUUACUUGUAUGGCCGAAUUGUGAGGUACAAGAGAGGCCAUUGACAAGUUUCAGUAAUGGAGCAGAUAUUCAUGAUAGAAGUAUUUGUCAAAAAAAUAAUUCUCAAAAUAGAACCACCGGAGAAAGAUGAGUUCGAACUUAAACAGGAGGCAGAGGAAAAGAAAAAAGAGAGCAGAGGCUUUUAGCCGCUGCUGAAGCUGCUAACAAAGGUAAAAAAGGUGGUAAAGGUGGCAAAGAGAAGAAAGGUAAAAAAGGAAAAGAACCACCAAUGCCUUCGGAAGAAGAAAUGAAAUUCAUGCAAACAUGCACGUUACAAAUGAAUUGUCUACCAGUAUUUGAUUUUUACGUAGCACACGACAACUUCAUUGCCCCAGAGCCCCCUCCGCCUCCAACAAAGGGAAAAGCAAAACCAGCUCCAAAAAAAGGCAAAGGUAAAGUAAUGCCGAAGAAGAUAGUUCUCCCAUCAGAACCAUUGCCCCAACCUCCAUACUUUGGUGUAGGAAACUCUGUUAUGUUUCUCUCUAGACCCUCAAAGCUGGAAGAAGUUUUGCGUAAGACCCCAAUCUAUAUCACAGUAUGGAAUAGAGAUCAAGAAAUGAAUUGCGUCGGAUUUUGUGUGGUCGAAUGGCAUGAGUCAUUCUUCGAAAGCCUACAAAGAGCUGCUCAACUUAACCCUGUAAAUAUGGAUCAAGCAGAAUACAGAGAUACCUCGAAACAAGAAAUGGUAACGAACACGGUCGAAUUGACUCGACCUUUACAAUGCGAGGAAGACUUGAAACCUUCGGGAGAAAUAGAGUUUUUCCUCCGACUAACGUGUUUGGGUAACAGAGUUGUGAGCUACUUCAUUAACUUGCCAGAAAUGGAGAGGUUACCUGGUAGGAAAUACCUGUCCGAUGACUUGAAAUUAAAAGAUGUUGAGGUGGUCAGACAUUGGGAAGGUACUACUAUAGAUUCUGUACCGCCAGUAGCUUAUUUUUUCGGAGCUCCAGAUAUUACCAGGGAACCUGUUAGGGCUGUAGAAGAACCAACAGUUUACGAAGACUUCACUGCUCCGUUUACUGAUAGUGAAUUAGCGAUUCUCUCGAUGGGUUUUCCUAAAGGUCCUUGCGGUGGAACUAAUUGCCCAAAACGUAUGGACUAUAGAGGCAGUCAGCAUCAGUUCAUACAUGGAGAGGUUAUUCAGGGGAAGUAUGAACAUGGAUCAUUUGUUAAUAAGAGAGAUGUACACGGUCCAUGCGGGAGGCUGGAUUGUCCCCUGGCGAAAAAAGUAAGAGCGUAUUUGUGUUCCGAAGGUUCUUAUAAGCCAUGCGUUAAACCGUGUUGCAAAGAUUAUUAUUAGCAUUUUGAGCUAAAUUUUAAGUUCAAUUUUAAAAAAAACACGUUCGAUUAAAAAGACGAGUUGAAAACCAUUUUAAGCAAUAAAAUUAUUAUGAAACA